Molecule: long non-coding RNA, 1118 nt
Filed under: Marmota monax (woodchuck)
Lineage: Eukaryota; Metazoa; Chordata; Mammalia; Rodentia; Sciuridae
Source: RNAcentral
CUUUUCCUAGGAAUAGAUAAUCGUAGGCUGGCAAAUGAUCCACUCUUCUUUGAUCUGCUUCCAGAUCUGGUGACUGGAGCUGGCAUUGACUGUUGGAUUGGUCCCAUUUGGAUCCUACCAAGCAUUCAUGUCACAGCAGAGGAUGCUGGAAGCCAGCCUAUUCAGAGGCCUGAAGCAAUACAUGUGGUUGGAGCUGAAGUGCCCAAAGAAAAGCAACUUAGAUGAUUUUUAUCUUAAAGAUUACAUUAUCUUUCAAGCAGAUAGAUAUCAAAGAGAUUCACCUGGAACACAUCCAUAAACUGAAGGCAGAGAAAGCCUCCAGGAAGCUCCUAGCUGACCAGACUGUAGCCUGUGGGACUAAGAGCAAGGAAUCCCAGACCAUCCUGAAGAGCCACCCCAGGCUGAGGAAGAGAUACUCAAGGUUUUGUCCAAGGAGGAAAAGAUCAUGAAGUAAAAAUCAUCCUCUCUUAUUUGUACAUAGUGGUUUAGGCAUUUAUAUACAUCAAUCACUCAAUACAACAAGCCUUUAUCUGCCAUAAAGCUAAGAAAAGAAAUAAUUUUAUAAUUAGCCAAAGAAAAUAAGUGUUGAGUUUAAUUUUAAUAAGGAUUAGAUGAUAAAUUGGUUAUGCACUAUUUAUCUUGGCUGAACACACCCUGGUAGUAUAUAUAUGCACAAGGUAAAAAAACAGUUCUUAGGACUGCUUAGACCAAGACCUAGAAUCACCAUGGAUAGGUCAGCUUCUCCCUAUGGGUUGAGCACUGUCAGGAGGGUUAACAAGAGGUCAGCCUGGGUAUUGUGUGGUACUUAAUAUUUUAUACUAGAAUCUUUUUUACAGUACACACUUACUUUGCUAAUUCCAAUCAAAAGGAGAAAGGAGGAUUUUAUCUUAAGCAUUUAUUUUUUUUAAUUUUAUUCUUUUGUAGUUGUAGAUAGACAGCAUGCCUUUAUUUGUUUAUGUGGUGCUAAGGAUUGAACCCAGUGUUCAUUAAACCCAGUGCCUCACCUUGCUAGGCAAGUGCUGUGACACUGAACUAUAGCCCCAACACCUUAAGUAUUUAUUUUAAACAAACAUUUGAGCAAUAAGACUGACAAAAAAAAAUGUGGAUGUGUAACCGAU